Bos grunniens (domestic yak) is the source of this 89-nucleotide microRNA precursor. The record is from Ensembl. NCBI's taxonomy places the organism in Eukaryota, Metazoa, Chordata, Mammalia, Artiodactyla, Bovidae.
AGUAUUGGGUUGGCCAAAAAGUUCAUUCAGGUUUUUCCGUAAGAUGUUAAUGGGAAAACCGAAACGAACUUUAUGGCCAACCUAAUUAA